RNAcentral lists this transfer RNA (67 nucleotides) under Noctilio leporinus (greater bulldog bat). Its description in RNAcentral is "tRNA-Pro". Lineage: Eukaryota; Metazoa; Chordata; Mammalia; Chiroptera; Noctilionidae. The record is from RNAcentral.
CAAGGAGUAGUUUAAAAUAGAAUUUCAGCUUUGGGUGUUGAAGGUGGGGAGUGUAUCCUUCUCCUUG